UGGGGAAUAUUGCACAAUGGGCGAAAGCCUGAUGCAGCAACGCCGCGUGAGGGACGACGGCCUUCGGGUUGUAAACCUCUUUUAGCAAGGAAGAAGCGAAAGUGACGGUACUUGCAGAAAAAGCGCCGGCUAACUACGUGCCAGCAGCCGCGGUAAUACGUAGGGCGCAAGCGUUAUCCGGAAUUAUUGGGCGUAAAGAGCUCGUAGACGGUUUGUCGCGUCUGCUGUGAAAACCCCGAGGCUCAACCUCGGGCCUGCAGUGGGUACGGGCAGACUAGAGUGCGGUAGGGGAGAUUGGAACUCCUGGUGUAGCGGUGGAAUGCGCAGAUAUCAGGAAGAACACCGAUGGCGAAGGCAGAUCUCUGGGCCGUAACUGACGCUGAGGAGCGAAAGGGUGGGGAGCAAAACAGGCUUAGAUACCCUGGUAGUCCACCCCGUAAACGUUGGGAACUAGUUGUGGGGUCCAUUCCACGGAUUCCGUGACGCAGCUAACGCAUUAAGUUCCCCGCCUGGGGAGUACGGCCGCAAGGCUAAAACUUAAAUGAAUUGACGGGGUCAUAGCUGUUUCCU
This 570-nucleotide ribosomal RNA is filed under the name uncultured bacterium. Its description in RNAcentral is "partial 16S ribosomal RNA". It matches the Rfam family "Bacterial small subunit ribosomal RNA", at positions 355 to 1375 of the family's 1533-position model. The record is from RNAcentral.